CCCUAGUAACUGCGAGUGAAGCGGGAAAAGCUCAAAUUUAAAAUCUGGUGGUCUUUGGCCAUCCGAGUUGUAAUCUAGAGAAGUGUUACCCGCGUCGGACCGUGUACAAGUCUCCUGGAAUGGAGCGUCAUAGAGGGUGAGAAUCCCGUCUUUGACACGGACUACCGAGGCUUUGUGGUGCGCUCUCAACGAGUCGAGUUGUUUGGGAAUGCAGCUCAAAAUGGGUGGUAAAUUCCAUCUAAAGCUAAAUAUUGGCGAGAGACCGAUAGCGAACAAGUACCGUGAGGGAAAGAUGAAAAGAACUUUGGAAAGAGAGUUAAACAGUACGUGAAAUUGCUGAAAGGGAAACGCUUGAAGUCAGUCGCGUUGGCCGGAAAUCAGCCUUGCUUUUGCUGGGUGUACUUUCUGGUUGACGGGCCAGCAUCAGUUUUGACCGGUGGAAAAAGUUCAAGGGAAUGUGGCAUCUUCGGAUGUGUUAUAGCCCUUGUUCGUAUACAUCGGUUGGGACUGAGGAACUCAGCACGCCGAAAGGCCGGGUCUUUGACCACGUUCGUGCUUAGGAUGCUGGCAUAAUGGCUUUAAUCGACCCGUCUUGAAACACGGACCAAGGAGUCUAACAUGCCUGCGAGUGUUUGGGUGGAAAACCCGGACGCGUAAUGAAAGUGAAAGUCGAGAUCCCUGUCAUGGGGAGCAUCGACGCCCGGACCAGAAGUUUUCUGACGGCCCUGCGGUAGAGCAUGUAUGUUGGGACCCGAAAGAUGGUGAACUAUGCCUGAAUAGGGUGAAGCCAGAGGAAACUCUGGUGGAGGCUCGUAGCGAUUCUGACGUGCAAAUCGAUCGUCAAAUUUGGGUAUAGGGGCGAAAGACUAAUCGAACCAUCUAGUAGCUGG
RNAcentral lists this ribosomal RNA (890 nucleotides) under Psathyrella longicauda. RNAcentral's name for it is "LSU rRNA". It matches the Rfam family "Eukaryotic large subunit ribosomal RNA", at positions 78 to 954 of the family's 3401-position model. The record is from RNAcentral. Lineage: Eukaryota; Fungi; Basidiomycota; Agaricomycetes; Agaricales; Psathyrellaceae.